RNAcentral lists this ribosomal RNA (401 nucleotides) under uncultured bacterium. Its description in RNAcentral is "bacterial SSU rRNA". It matches the Rfam family "Bacterial small subunit ribosomal RNA", at positions 488 to 887 of the family's 1533-position model. The record is from RNAcentral.
AGGCACCGGAAAAGUCUGUGCCGGCCGCCCCGGUAAUACGGAGGGUGCCAGCGUUUUCCGGAAUUACCGGGCGUAAAGCGCGCGUACGCCGCCUGUUUAGUCAGAUGUGAAAGCCCUGGGCUUAACCUGGGAACUGCAUUUGAUACUGGCAGGCUUGAGUGUGGUAGAGGGAAGUGGAAUUCCGGGUGUAGCGGUGAAAUGCGUAGAUAUCCGGAGGAACAUCAGUGGCGAAGGCGGCUUCCUGGACCAACACUGACGCUGAGGUGCGAAAGCGUGGGUUGCAAACAGGAUUAGAUACCCUGGUAGUCCACGCCGUAAACGAUGUCAACUAGUCGUUGGAAGGUUUAAUCCUUUUAGUGACGUAACUAACGCGAUUAGUUGACCGCCUGGGGAGUACGGCC